AAAUAAAUAACUAAAAAAGUAUAUCACUUACAUUGAUAAAAUGAUUUAAAAAUCUUUAUUUA
Molecule: transfer RNA, 62 nt
Filed under: Dialeurodes hongkongensis
Lineage: Eukaryota; Metazoa; Arthropoda; Insecta; Hemiptera; Aleyrodidae
Description: tRNA-Val
Source: RNAcentral